GUCCGCAGCCUUUGCCUGUUUAAGGCCUGCGCGCACGCGCAUGGAGGGGCUGGGCGCGGGGCCGCCUGCUUGCCCCGUAGCGAACGCGCCGGAGUGCUCGAGGCGCCGUUCAAGAAAUCCAGUGCGAAAUUGCUGCAAAAGCAGGGAUGAUUAUACAGAGAGUAGUGCUGAAUUCACGCCCUGGUAAGAAUGGAGUGCCAGUGGCUGAAAACUUCCGACUGGAACAAAGUACAAUAGCAGAUACAAUCCAAGCUGGACAAGUGCGUGUUAGAACCCUUUAUCUCUCUGUGGAUCCUUACAUGCGCUGCCGAAUGAAUGAGGAUACUGGCUCAGAUUACCUCCUGCCCUGGCAGCUGUCUGAAGUUGCUGAUGGUGGGGGCAUUGGGGUUGUGGAGGAGAGCAAGCAUGAUAACCUUGCUAAAGGAGACUUUGUAACUUCCUUCAAUUGGCCCUGGCAGACAGUGGCAAUUCUAGAUGGAAGCUUGCUACAAAAGCUUGUUCCACAACUUGUAAAUGGACGCCUUUCCUACUUUCUUGGUGCAGCUGGCAUCACAGGACUGACAGCCCUGUUAGGUAUAAAGGAGAAAGGACACGUGGCUGUGGGUGCGAAUCAGACAAUGGUGGUGAGCGGAGCAGCUGGUGCCUGCGGCUCUUUGGCUGGCCAGAUUGGCCGUCUGGAAGGCUGCUCUAGAGUGGUGGGGAUCGCUGGCACAGAUGAGAAGUGUUCCAUUUUGGUCCAAGAAAUGGGGUUUGAUGCUGCUAUCAAUUACAAGAAGGGGGAUGUGGCAGAGCAGCUACGUGAACUCUGCCCAGGCGGUGUGGAUGUUUACUUUGACAAUGUUGGUGGAGACAUCAGUGAUACAGUUAUAAGUCAGAUGAAUCAGAACAGCCAUAUCAUCCUGUGUGGACAGAUUUCUCAGUAUAACAAAGAUGUGCCUUAUCCUCCUCCGCUGCCUCCUGACAUAGAAAAAAUACAGAAAGAAAGGAAUAUCACAAGGGAAAGAUUCUUAGUGUUGAACUAUAUGGACAAACAAGAGGCUAGUAUACUACAACUCUGUCAGUGGAUCCAAGAGGGUAAACUGAAGGUCAGAGAGACUGUGGUAGAAGGCUUAGCAAACAUUGGUGCUGCUUUCCAGUCCAUGAUGAAUGGAGGCAAUAUUGGAAAACAGAUUGUCUCAGUUUCUAAGUAAAAGUCAUUGCUUUCGGAAAAAUAAUUGGAUUCUGUCUCUUAACACCUGCUUGGAAGAAAGUAUAUCAUAGGGUAGUAUCCAAAGCGAGCUAAUUAAAUACCUGUAUAUUUCAAAAGAGACUUCAACUGUGAACUGUGAGAAUACUCUAAGUUGCUUCAGGGACCUGUGCGUGAACAAACCAUACUACUAGACAUAUCCCUAAAAUCCCAUGUUGGAAAAAGAAAGUGAAAACAAGACACUCGACACCUUCCUUGCAACCAAACACAAGAAAAGUGCAAUAUAAAGAAAGAUUUUGGUAAACGAUAUUUCUAUCCUUUCUACUGCUUACUUAUAUAGUCAAAGAUGACAUACUUGAGUUGAUUUUACAAGCACCUUUACCUUACAAUUAUCAUCCCUACUAUCUUUUGAGUUGCUAGAUGACCUUUUAUAGGCAUGACAGACCAUAGAAACUGUGCACCAUAUGCUUCAGGCAUUUAACUAGAUGAACUAUGAUGCUGGGCCUUGAAAAUAUUACUCAGCCAUUGCUGUUGAAGUUAAGCAAAAGUAACACUUUAAACAGCAGGUAAAAUUUCUCUCCUUUACUUGUUUGACUUCCAAUAUUAAAUCAACCACUUAAUGUCCAGAGAGACUCCCAAUACCAAUAAAAUCUCAAAGUCUAACAGAGGAGGCAAGAAAACUAAAACAAGAAAAGAACACAAAUCCACUCUUUCACCAUUUUGCAGAUCAUCUUUUAGGGUAACCCAGAGAACCACCAACAUAUUCUUUUCCCUCCUACCUGAAAAGAAAUGCUGAAGGGCAUGAAUAAAGGAAACAGAAAUAAAGGUAUAUUAAAAAA
RNA transcript from Aquila chrysaetos chrysaetos, 2025 nucleotides. It is a transcript of the gene named prostaglandin reductase 2, with no coding region annotated. The record is from RefSeq and is a predicted model, not a curated record. NCBI's taxonomy places the organism in Eukaryota, Metazoa, Chordata, Aves, Accipitriformes, Accipitridae. The transcript is spliced from 12 exons.